This 252-nucleotide long non-coding RNA is filed under the name Sorghum bicolor (sorghum). RNAcentral describes it as "long non-coding RNA (SBIC_LNC013364)". The record is from RNAcentral. Lineage: Eukaryota; Viridiplantae; Streptophyta; Magnoliopsida; Poales; Poaceae.
GUAAUGAUUCCCUGUGCACUAAUCCAGUUGUUGAGCAUGCAGAUUUUGCAGGAAAUUUGGACUCCAAUGAUCAAGAUGCCAGUGCAAAUGGUGGUGAUUUUAUGCAGCCUGUUGCCCUUCCGUUUUUGGCAAGUCCCGGCGCUGGUCCCGAUUCUGAUUCGCCUACCACGGCAGUGGAUCUGUCGGGAGGAUCGUCUUCGGCUUUGGCACCGACUGAUUCCGUAACGCCAAGCUCCAACACCGAUCUGCCAC